Molecule: unclassified non-coding RNA, 380 nt
Filed under: uncultured Actinomycetes bacterium
Lineage: Bacteria; Bacillati; Actinomycetota; Actinomycetes
Description: uncultured actinobacterium contains 16S-23S intergenic spacer region
Source: RNAcentral
UCCGAGUUGACCCCGGCAGUCUCCUAUGAGUCCCCGCCAUCACGCGCUGGCAACAUAGAACGAGGGUUGCGCUCGUUGCGGGACUUAACCCAACAUCUCACGACACGAGCUGACGACAACCAUGCAGCAUCUGUGCACGCUCCCUUGCGGGUCCCUUCCCUUUCAGGUCGGUACCACGUGCAUGUCAAGCCUAGGUAAGGUUCUUCGCGUUGCAUCGAAUUAAACCACACGCUCCGCUGCUUGUGCGGGCCCCCGUCAAUUCCUUUGAGUUUUAGCCUUGCGGCCGUACUCCCCAGGCGGGGUGCUUAAUGCGUUAGCUGCGGCACGGAAGGAGUCGACACCUCCCACACCUAGCACCCAUCGUUUACGGCUAGGACUAC